UAACUGAACCUUCGGGGAACGUUAACGGCGUCGAGCGGCGGACGGGUGAGUAAUGCCUGGGAAAUUGCCCUGAUGUGGGGGAUAACCAUUGGAAACGAUGGCUAAUACCGCAUAAUAGCUUCGGCUCAAAGAGGGGGACCUUCGGGCCUCUCGCGUCAGGAUAUGCCCAGGUGGGAUUAGCUAGUUGGUGAGGUAAGGGCUCACCAAGGCGACGAUCCCUAGCUGGUCUGAGAGGAUGAUCAGCCACACUGGAACUGAGACACGGUCCAGACUCCUACGGGAGGCAGCAGUGGGGAAUAUUGCACAAUGGGCGCAAGCCUGAUGCAGCCAUGCCGCGUGUAUGAAGAAGGCCUUCGGGUUGUAAAGUACUUUCAGCAGUGAGGAAGGUUCAUACGUUAAUAGCGUUUUGAUUUGACGUUAGCUGCAGAAGAAGCACCGGCUAACUCCGUGCCAGCAGCCGCGGUAAUACGGAGGGUGCGAGCGUUAAUCGGAAUUACUGGGCGUAAAGCGCAUGCAGGUGGUUUGUUAAGUCAGAUGUGAAAGCCCGGGGCUCAACCUCGGAAUUGCAUUUGAAACUGGCAGACUAGAGUACUGUAGAGGGGGGUAGAAUUUCAGGUGUAGCGGUGAAAUGCGUAGAGAUCUGAAGGAAUACCGGUGGCG
This 660-nucleotide ribosomal RNA is filed under the name Vibrio galatheae. RNAcentral describes it as "bacterial SSU rRNA". It matches the Rfam family "Bacterial small subunit ribosomal RNA", at positions 64 to 717 of the family's 1533-position model. The record is from RNAcentral. Lineage: Bacteria; Pseudomonadati; Pseudomonadota; Gammaproteobacteria; Vibrionales; Vibrionaceae.